UACAGAGGUCUCAAGCGUUGUUCGGAUUCAUUGGGCGUAAAGGGUGCGUAGGCGGCGCGGUAAGUCGGGUGUGAAAUCUCGGGGCUUAACUCCGAAACUGCAUUCGAUACUACCGUGCUUGAGGACUGGAGAGGAGACUGGAAUUUACGGUGUAGCGGUGAAAUGCGUAGAUAUCGUAAGGAGGACCAGUGGCGAAGGCGGGUCUCUGGACAGUUCCUGACGCUGAGGCACGAAGGCCAGGGGAGCAAACGGG
Molecule: ribosomal RNA, 253 nt
Filed under: uncultured bacterium
Lineage: Bacteria
Description: partial 16S ribosomal RNA
Rfam family: Bacterial small subunit ribosomal RNA
Source: RNAcentral